RNAcentral lists this ribosomal RNA (504 nucleotides) under Ramalina implectens. RNAcentral's name for it is "partial large subunit ribosomal RNA". It matches the Rfam family "Eukaryotic large subunit ribosomal RNA", at positions 110 to 626 of the family's 3401-position model. Lineage: Eukaryota; Fungi; Ascomycota; Lecanoromycetes; Lecanorales; Ramalinaceae. The record is from RNAcentral.
CAAAUUUGAAAUCUGGCUCCUCUCGGGGUCCGAGUUGUAAUUUGUAGAGGAUGCUUCGGGUGCGGCACCGGUCUAAGUCCCUUGGAACAGGGCGUCNUAGAGGGUGAGGAUCCCGUAUGUGACCGGCGACCAAGUCCAUGUGAAGCUCCUUCGACGAGUCGAGUUGUUUGGGAAUGCAGCUCAAAAUGGGUGGUAAAUUUCAUCUAAAGCUAAAUACCGGCCAGAGACCGAUAGCGCACAAGUAGAGUGAUCGAAAGAUGAAAAGCACUUUGGAAAGAGAGUCAAAAAGUACGUGAAAUUGUUGAAAGGGAAGCGCUUGUAACCAGACCUGCCGUCGGGUGCUCCGCGGGCAUUCUUGCCCGUCUACUCACCCGCGAUUAGGCCAGCAUCGGUUUUGGCGGCCGGAUAAAGACUCGGGGAAUGUAGCUUCGCUUCNGGGAAGUGUUAUAGCCUCUUGUGCAAUACGGCCAGCCGGGACCGAGGACCGCGCUUCGGCUAGGAUGC